GUAGGUGGCAAGCGUUGUCCGGAAUUGUUGGGCGUAAAGCGCGCGCAGGCGGUUCUUUAAGUCUGAUGUGAAAGCCCACGGCUCAACCGUGGAGGGUCAUUGGAAACUGGAGAACUUGAGUACAGAAGAGGAAAGCGGAAUUCCACGUGUAGCGGUGAAAUGCGUAGAGAUGUGGAGGAACACCAGUGGCGAAGGCGGCUUUCUGGUCUGUAACUGACGCUGAGGCGCGAAAGCGUGGGGAGCAAACAGGAUUAGAUACCCUGGUAGUCCACGCCGUAAACGAUGAGUGCUAAGUGUUAGGGGGUUUCCGCCCCCUUAGUGCUGCAGCUAACGCAUUAAGCACUCCGCCUGGGAUACGGCGCAAGGCUG
Molecule: ribosomal RNA, 369 nt
Filed under: uncultured organism
Description: partial 16S ribosomal RNA
Rfam family: Bacterial small subunit ribosomal RNA
Source: RNAcentral